RNAcentral lists this ribosomal RNA (398 nucleotides) under uncultured Bacteroidota bacterium. RNAcentral describes it as "bacterial SSU rRNA". It matches the Rfam family "Bacterial small subunit ribosomal RNA", at positions 98 to 496 of the family's 1533-position model. The record is from RNAcentral. Lineage: Bacteria; Pseudomonadati; Bacteroidota.
GCGCACGGGUGAGUAUCGCGUAUACAAUCUGCCUCAUACUAGGGAAUAGCCCGAAGAAAUUUGGAUUAAUGCCCUAUAGUAUCUUUUUAAGGCAUCUUAUUAAGAUUAAAGGUUACGGUAUGAGAUGAGUAUGCGUUCUAUUAGCUAGUAGGUGUGGUAACGGCACACCUAGGCUACGAUAGAUAGGGGCCCUGAGAGGGGGAUCCCCCACACUGGUACUGAGACACGGACCAGACUCCUACGGGAGGCAGCAGUAAGGAAUAUUGGUCAAUGGACGAAAGUCUGAACCAGCCAUGCCGCGUGCAGGAUGACUGCCCUAUGGGUUGUAAACUGCUUUUAUAUAGGAAGAAAAACUUUCUCGUGAGAAAGCUUGACGGUACUAUAAGAAUAAGGAUCGG